UGAGGAAUAUUGGUCAAUGGGCGAGAGCCUGAACCAGCCAAGUAGCGUGCAGGAUGACGGCCCUAUGGGUUGUAAACUGCUUUUAUGUGGGGAUAAAGUGCGUGACGUGUCAUGCAUUGCAGGUACCACAUGAAUAAGGACCGGCUAAUUCCGUGCCAGCAGCCGCGGUAAUACGGAAGGUCCGGGCGUUAUCCGGAUUUAUUGGGUUUAAAGGGAGCGUAGGCUGUCUAUUAAGCGUGUUGUGAAAUUUACCGGCUCAACCGGUGGCUUGCAGCGCGAACUGGUCGACUUGAGUAUGCAGGAAGUAGGCGGAAUUCAUGGUGUAGCGGUGAAAUGCUUAGAUAUCAUGACGAACUCCGAUUGCGCAGGCAGCUUGCUGUAGCAUAACUGACGCUGAUGCUCGAAAGUGCGGGUAUCAAACAGG
This 424-nucleotide ribosomal RNA is filed under the name Fusobacteriota bacterium. RNAcentral describes it as "Fusobacteria bacterium partial 16S ribosomal RNA". It matches the Rfam family "Bacterial small subunit ribosomal RNA", at positions 355 to 776 of the family's 1533-position model. The record is from RNAcentral. Lineage: Bacteria; Fusobacteriati; Fusobacteriota.